This is a non-coding RNA of Chinchilla lanigera (long-tailed chinchilla), 1412 nucleotides long. Lineage: Eukaryota; Metazoa; Chordata; Mammalia; Rodentia; Chinchillidae. The record is from the annotation of a RefSeq genome assembly.
UUCUACUGAGAAGGCUUUCAGGACAACCAGAUUCAGUGUCUUUACAGGGGAGCGAAGAGAUGGAGACUGUCCUGCACGUGCUCGUGGGGAUGUUGGGAUUGCAAGCAGCCUGGGUCAGCAGCCAAGAGCUGCAGCAGAGUCAGUCUCAGGUCGUCCAAGAGGGAGAAGAUCUCAUCGUAACCUGCAAUUCGUCAACGGCUUUGUUUGUCUUACACUGGUAUAGACAGAGCGGUGGAGGUCCUGUCUUCUUGAUGAUGUUACAGAAAGGCAGAGAUGAGAAAAGUCACGGAAACAUAACUGCCAAGUUGGACGAGAAAAGGCAGCAAAGUUCCCUGCGUAUCACAGCCGCCCGGCCCAGACACGCAGGCACCUACUUCUGUGCGGGAAAUGUGGAGGCAGCAACUUUAAACUGGCAUUUGGAAAAGGAACCCUCUUAACAGUAAAUCCAAACAUUAAUAUAACAGAACCUGCCGUGUACCAGCUGAGAAACCCUAAAUCCAGAAAUGUCUCCGUCUGCCUGUUCACCGAUUUUGAUUCUACACUCAAUGUGACAAGAGCCAUGGGGUCCGAAGUGUCUCACACCGAGCAAACUGUGCUGGACAUGACGUCGCUGGAUUCCAAGAGCAAUGGUGCCGUGGCCUGGAGCAACACAAUCGAUUUUAAUUGUACAAAUGUCUUCCAAGAGAAUAUGUUCUACCCCAGCUCAGACUUUCCUUGUAAUGCCACGUUGGUAGGAGAAGGCUUUGAAACAGAUAUGAACCUAAACCUUCAAAACCUGUCCGUGCUGGGCCUCCGAAUCCUCCUCCUGAAAGUGGGUGGAUUUAACCUGCUCAUGACUCUGCGGCUGUGGUCCAGCUAGGUCAGCAAGGCUGCGUGGGCCUGCGUUCCUCUGCUCCCUCCUGCCCUUCCUCAAGCAGAAGGGAGCUCUCCCACUGCUCCGGCCACCCUGUCAAUGCUGGAUUGUGUCGAAGAUGCUGAAGAGAUGCCAAGGCUGCUGCCACCCCCACCCCAUUCCCUACUGCUGCUUGUCACCGUUCACAGCAAAGGUGGGCGGCCACAGCCUCCCACACUGUGAAGGAAUCCCUGCCCCUCCACAGGGACGGCCUCCGCUGUCCCACUGGGUGACCAGUCCCCAGUAGCUCCUGGAUAAUGUUGUGAAGAGCUUUUAUUUUUUAAAAUAGUGUUCAUAAGGAAAUACAAGUUAUUCUUUCUCACAAGAUGUAGAAUGAAAUUAUCUCAUUCCAGGGAUGGCAAACCUGUGGCACAUGCACCACAGUGGGCUGUUUGUUAUCACUGAAAGCUCUCGAAGGUUCGCCAUCACUAGCUAGACCUUCCCUGCCAUGCUGUGACCUGAACCAAAAUGUGUAUUAUUCGACUGCCCUGGCUUCAUUAAAAGUGAUCAAAAGAGUGGA